GCCAGUGUGGGAUAGUGAUUUGAGCAUUGGACUGUGACUCCAGAGACUAGGGUUCGAAUCCCCACAGAAACU
Non-coding RNA from Phrynosoma platyrhinos (Desert horned lizard), 72 nucleotides. NCBI's taxonomy places the organism in Eukaryota, Metazoa, Chordata, Lepidosauria, Squamata, Phrynosomatidae. The record is from the annotation of a GenBank genome assembly.